RNAcentral lists this ribosomal RNA (468 nucleotides) under uncultured bacterium. Its description in RNAcentral is "partial 16S ribosomal RNA". It matches the Rfam family "Bacterial small subunit ribosomal RNA", at positions 28 to 507 of the family's 1533-position model. The record is from RNAcentral.
GACGAACGCUGGCGGCGUGCUUAACACAUGCAAGUCGAACGGAAAGGCCAUGCGCUUGCGGGGUGCUCGAGUGGCGAACGGGUGAGUAACACGUGAGUAACAUGCCCUUGACAGUGGGAUAACUUCAGGAAACUGGGGCUAAUACCCGAGAGGAGCUCCUGCUGCAUGGUGGGGGUUGGAAAGAUUCGGCGGUAUGGGAUGGACUCGCGGCUUAUCAGCUUGUUGGUGGGGUAGUUGAUUACCAAGGCUUUGAAGGGUAGCCGGCAUGAGAGGGUGACCGGCCACAUGGGGACUGAGAUACGGCCCAGACUCGUACGGGCGGCAGCAGUGGGAAACAUUACACAAUGGGCGGAAGCCUGUGGCAGCAACGCCGGGUGCGGGAUGCCGGCCUUCUGGUUGUGAACCGCUUUGGACUGUAACGAAGCGUGCGUGACGGUAAUGAGUAAGAAAGCAACGGCUAACUACGUG